This 451-nucleotide ribosomal RNA is filed under the name uncultured bacterium. RNAcentral describes it as "partial 16S ribosomal RNA". It matches the Rfam family "Bacterial small subunit ribosomal RNA", at positions 354 to 796 of the family's 1533-position model. The record is from RNAcentral.
GUGGGGAAUAUUGGACAAUGGGGGGAACCCUGAUCCAGCCAUGCCGCGUGUGUGAAGAAGGCCUUUUGGUUGUAAAGCACUUUAAGCGAGGAGGAGGCUACCGAGAUUAAUACUCUUGGAUAGUGGACGUUACUCGCAGAAUAAGCACCGGCUAACUCUGUGCCAGCAGCCGCGGUAAUACAGAGGGUGCAAGCGUUAAUCGGAUUUACUGGGCGUAAAGCGCGCGUAGGUGGCCAAUUAAGUCUAAUGUGAAAUCCCCGAGCUUAACUUGGGAAUUGCAUUCGAUACUGGUUGGCUAGAGUAUGGGAGAGGAUGGUAGAAUUCCAGGUGUGGCGGUGAAAUGCGUAGAGAUCUGGAGGAAUACCGAUGGCGAAGGCAGCCAUCUGGCCUAAUACUGACACUGAGGUGCGAAAGCAUGGGGAGCAAACAGGAUUAGAUACCCGGGUAGUCC